UGCAGAGAUGCUGGGAGGGGGACCCUUCUAGUGAGCCUUUGACAAUUCUCCAGUCCUGCUUUAAGAAGAACAGCUAUCAAAGGCAGUCACUCUGAAAAUAAUUAAAUGGAAAAUAUACUUAACACCAAGAAUGAAGAUUGCCCAGCCAUCACCCCAUGGGGCCAAGUUACUUUUGGCGACUAAAGGUUUACAGUGAUGAUCCUGAAUAGACACCUGAGGUGUCAGUUAUGAAGCGACGUGAAAAGCAUCCUCUUAGAGCCUCUGCCUGCUGCGAUCUGUAAAAUGGGGCUCAUCCUUCAUUCAUGUCAGAGGCCCAGUGCUGGGUGAGACCAUGACUAUCUAUUCUCCACCAGUAUCCUGCACAGUACCUUCUGGCAUUAUGAAAGCUAGCCAGCUGAGGGGAUGUUUCCUGGUUUGGAUGUUUAGCCCACCACAAGUCCACAGCUAUGGACCCACAAAAUCACGGAUUGAAAACACGGGCCAAAGU
Meriones unguiculatus (Mongolian gerbil) is the source of this 487-nucleotide long non-coding RNA. RefSeq lists it as uncharacterized. The record is from RefSeq and is a predicted model, not a curated record. NCBI's taxonomy places the organism in Eukaryota, Metazoa, Chordata, Mammalia, Rodentia, Muridae. The transcript is spliced from 4 exons.